GAGCGGAUGACGGGAGCUUGCUCCUUGAUUCAGCGGCGGACGGGUGAGUAAUGCCUAGGAAUCUGCCUGGUAGUGGGGGACAACGUUUCGAAAGGAACGCUAAUACCGCAUACGUCCUACGGGAGAAAGCAGGGGACCUUCGGGCCUUGCGCUAUCAGAUGAGCCUAGGUCGGAUUAGCUAGUUGGUGGGGUAAUGGCUCACCAAGGCGACGAUCCGUAACUGGUCUGAGAGGAUGAUCAGUCACACUGGAACUGAGACACGGUCCAGACUCCUACGGGAGGCAGCAGUGGGGAAUAUUGGACAAUGGGCGAAAGCCUGAUCCAGCCAUGCCGCGUGUGUGAAGAAGGUCUUCGGAUUGUAAAGCACUUUAAGUUGGGAGGAAGGGCAGUAAGUUAAUACCUUGCUGUUUUGACGUUACCGACAGAAUAAGCACCGGCUAACUCUGUG
RNAcentral lists this ribosomal RNA (448 nucleotides) under uncultured bacterium. RNAcentral describes it as "bacterial SSU rRNA". It matches the Rfam family "Bacterial small subunit ribosomal RNA", at positions 64 to 507 of the family's 1533-position model. The record is from RNAcentral.